ACGACAGGUGCUGCAUGGCUGUCGUCAGCUCGUGUCGUGAGAUGUUGGGUUAAGUCCCGCAACGAGCGCAACCCUUGCCUUUAGUUGCCAGCAGUUCGGCUGGGCACUCUAAAGGGACUGCCGGUGUUAAACCGGAGGAAGGUGGGGAUGACGUCAAGUCCUCAUGGCCUUUAUGACCAGGGCUACACACGUACUACAAUGGCCGAUACAAAGGGCAGCGACACUGCGAGGUGAAGCCAAUCCCGUAAAAUCGGUCUCAGUCCGGAUUGGAGUCUGCAACUCGACUCCAUGAAGUUGGAAUCGCUAGUAAUCGUGGAUCAGCAUGCCACGGUGAAUACGUUCCCGGGCCUU
RNAcentral lists this ribosomal RNA (351 nucleotides) under uncultured Desulfobulbus sp. RNAcentral describes it as "bacterial SSU rRNA". It matches the Rfam family "Bacterial small subunit ribosomal RNA", at positions 1031 to 1382 of the family's 1533-position model. Lineage: Bacteria; Pseudomonadati; Thermodesulfobacteriota; Desulfobulbia; Desulfobulbales; Desulfobulbaceae. The record is from RNAcentral.